UGCAAUAUGGCUAAAGGAAAAGGCAGAAAAAGCAAUCCAACAAAAUUACCUGUUUGAACCAAUCUAUUUGGCCAUAUUGUAUACACCCCAGCUGGUGAGCCACUUCCAACCAACAAGAGGUAUGAUGCUACCAAAAUUUUCAGUCACCCUGAUAUUGUUGCUGAGGAAACAUGGUAUGGUAUUGAGCAAGAGUAUACCUUAUUGCAGAAAGAUGUAAAUUGACUACUUGGGUGGCCACUUGGUGGGUUUCCUGGACCACAGAACAAAGCUAAGGAUAAUGAUUCUGAUAAUAAUGUGGAUUUUGUUGCUGGGAAUGUGAAACUUAUUACCACCAAAGAAGUGUGGAACCAAUAUUUGGAAGAAGCAAGGAGGGAUGAUAAAAUUGUAAGUUUCCCUCUUUUUUACUCUGUAGGAUAGUAAAUUUAAUAAGAUAAUUCUACUUUAGUAAUUUUCCUUCAUCAUGAGAGUUCUCUCUCUUUAUUUAAUCAUAGCUCUCCGUACUAUGUUUUUGGACCAUUCUUAUUGUUAUUUGUCUUAAAGGUCUAAAUAGAAAUAAAUUUAGAGUUUGUUUGAGAUCAUUGUAAAAAAAA
Long non-coding RNA from Glycine soja, 590 nucleotides. RefSeq lists it as uncharacterized. NCBI's taxonomy places the organism in Eukaryota, Viridiplantae, Streptophyta, Magnoliopsida, Fabales, Fabaceae. The record is from RefSeq and is a predicted model, not a curated record. The transcript has 4 exons.